RNAcentral lists this ribosomal RNA (433 nucleotides) under uncultured bacterium. RNAcentral describes it as "partial 16S ribosomal RNA". It matches the Rfam family "Bacterial small subunit ribosomal RNA", at positions 29 to 507 of the family's 1533-position model. The record is from RNAcentral.
AACGAACGCUGGCGGCAUGCCUAACACAUGCAAGUCGAACGAGACCUUCGGGUCUAGUGGCGCACGGGUGCGUAACGCGUGGGAACCUGCCCUUAGGUUCGGAAUAACUCCCCGAAAGGGGUGCUAAUACCGGAUAAUGUCUUCGGCCCAAAGAUUUAUCGCAUUUGGAUGGGCCCGCGUUGGAUUAGCUAGUUGGUAGGGUAAAAGCCUACCAAGGCGACGAUCCAUAGCUGGUCAGAGAGGAUGAUCAGCCACACUGGGACUGAGACACGGCCCAGACUCCUACGGGAGGGAGCAGUGGGGAAUAGUGGAAAAGGGGCGAAAGCCUGAUCCAGCAAUGCCGCGUGAGUGAUGAAGGCUUUAGGGUUGUAAAGCUCUUUUAACCGGGAUGAUAAUGACAGUACCGGGAGAAUAAGCUCCGGCUAACUCCGUG